This 495-nucleotide ribosomal RNA is filed under the name uncultured bacterium. RNAcentral describes it as "partial 16S ribosomal RNA". It matches the Rfam family "Bacterial small subunit ribosomal RNA", at positions 28 to 507 of the family's 1533-position model. The record is from RNAcentral.
GAUGAACGCUGGCGGCGUGCCUAAUACAUGCAAGUAGAACGCUGAAGGAGGAGCUUGCUCUUCUGGAUGAGUUGCGAACGGGUGAGUAACGCGUAGGUAACCUGCCUGGUAGCGGGGGAUAACUAUUGGAAACGAUAGCUAAUACCGCAUGACAACAGUUAUUGCAUGAUAACUGUUUAAAAGGGGCAACUGCUCCACUACCAGAUGGACCUGCGUUGUAUUAGCUAGUUGGUGAGGUAACGGCUCACCAAGGCGACGAUACAUAUCCGACCUGAGAGGGUGAUCGGACACACUGUGAAUGAGACACGGCCCAGACUACUACGGGAGGCAGCAGUAGGGAAUCUUAGGCAAUGGACGGAAGUCUGACCGAGCAACGACGCGUGAGUGAAGAAGGUUGUCGGAUCGUAAAGCUCUGUUGUAAGAGAAGAACGAGGGUGAGAGUGGAAAGUUCACACUGUGACGGUAUCUUACCAGAAAGGGACGGCUAACUACGUG